Molecule: transfer RNA, 72 nt
Filed under: Ameiurus melas (black bullhead)
Lineage: Eukaryota; Metazoa; Chordata; Actinopteri; Siluriformes; Ictaluridae
Rfam family: tRNA
About the family: Transfer RNA (tRNA) molecules are approximately 80 nucleotides in length. Their secondary structure includes four short double-helical elements and three loops (D, anti-codon, and T loops).
Source: Rfam by way of RNAcentral
GCAUUGGUGGUAUAGUGGUCAGCAUAGCUCCCUCCCAAGCAGUUGACCUGGGUUCGAUUCCCGGCCAAUGCG